GGGGCAUUAGCGCAGUUGGGAGCGGGCACCACACUGGCAGUGUGGGGGGCCGGGGUUCAAGUCCCCUAUGCUCCCCCA
Molecule: transfer RNA, 78 nt
Filed under: Oscillospiraceae bacterium
Lineage: Bacteria; Bacillati; Bacillota; Clostridia; Eubacteriales; Oscillospiraceae
Description: tRNA-Ala
Rfam family: tRNA
About the family: Transfer RNA (tRNA) molecules are approximately 80 nucleotides in length. Their secondary structure includes four short double-helical elements and three loops (D, anti-codon, and T loops).
Source: RNAcentral